RNAcentral lists this long non-coding RNA (1739 nucleotides) under Pongo abelii (Sumatran orangutan). Its description in RNAcentral is "lncRNA (ENSPPYG00000030570.1)". The record is from RNAcentral. Lineage: Eukaryota; Metazoa; Chordata; Mammalia; Primates; Hominidae.
UUUUAAAAAUGUAAAUAUGUAACAUAAUUUCCUAAUUUAUAUACAGUAUAAAUCGGGAGUUUUUUUUCCACUCCACAGUGGAGGAAGGGAAGGUUAUUUCUACCAGUAUUCCAACAAAUACAUAUUUGAUUAUGUAGAAAGCAUGAUUAUAUUAAAUACAGGCAUCUCCUACUUAGAAUACAAUUAUUCAACACAAAAGAUGAACUAAUUUCAAAGAACAAUGUAAACUGAACUUAGGCCUUGUACACCCUCUUUUUACUAAUAACACCUAUGGUCCCCAUUAGAAUAAACUGUCACUAAAUCAAGGCCAAAGAUUUCGAUAUUUGGCUUUCUGUCCUGCCUCCUUACUUCCAAGGCUAUUUAUGCAAACUGCAUCAACAUUACUGGGCAAAGAAAUAGUUAGUAAUAUUAAAUUAUGGGGAAAACUAUAUGAGGAACUGAAAUUUCCUUAGAAUUUUUAUGGGGAGAAAUUGAAGCAUUUAAUGCUGAUAAAAAAUAAUUUCUAAGCCUAUCAUAUUUUCUACUUUUCUUCCAUGAGAACAACGUAUUAAUGUUAACACUUUAGUAUUAAUAUCUUGUUUUAUAAUAUUUUCCUUUAAGAUAUGCAUAUUAAAAGGUUGUACCAUGUUAGGUUCCAGUGGACAAGUUCCUCUGUGAAACAUGUGACUAUAUAAAGAGACUGAAUGGAAAUACAUAAAAAACAAAAGAAAUUCCACAGUCAACUUUCAACUACAUAAAUGAGACACCUGUACUAAAAUGGCUUGUACAACAAUGUACAUCACAAAUUAAAUCUGAAGCAAGAUUACUUCAAAUAAUUAUUUCAACGAAUUGCUGAAAGAUCAUUACUAGGCAAACUUUUACCCAAAAUCAGAAAACAUUCAAGCAAUCACACAAAAUAGAACACACUAGGCUACAAAUCUUGAAUAUUUUCAAAGAAAAAUUAGGGUAUGAAAUAUAAGUUUUCAUGGUUUAAACAUUUAUUGUAAGUCCUAGAUGAAACAUACUGAAAAGAUUAUUUUUGCUUUAAUCCCAAUAUGCUAAGAAAAGUUCAUUGGCACAAAUAUCCAGAGGUAUUUUACAGUUUCAUUUACCUUUGGUGGCAAAGAGUAUUUUGCUAACCGUAUGGACACAGUCACAUAGUUUCCAAUGCACAGCUUUAUGCUAAAGAGAAUUCAAAUGUGUCUCUUUUUUUGCUAAAAAAGGGAUGUAAAAAGUCCAAUAUGAAACAGAACAAGUGCAACAUGAAAUACAAAAUAUGCCUAUCAUGUAGGCUUUUGAACAGUUAAUAGCUCUACAUGUUAUCUAUAAACAUUUUUUACUAGUAACAUCACUAUUGUAUAAAUAUUAAAAACAAAAAUGACAUUAAAAAAUAGCAUAUGAACUUUACAAAAAUGGCUACUUUUAGACUUCCUAAACUAAAAUCAGAAUUCAAAUAUGCAAACAAAUCUACACUAACUAAUCAAAACACACCAACAGAUACAGUUUUUCAUAAGUGUUCAAAGUUACAAUGUACAGAAUGAGUACAGACAGAUUCUGACUCAUAUAUCAAGUCCUAUACAAAGUCUUCAGAAAUUAACUGAUUAAUUGGUAUUUCAAAACACAGAUUGUUUUUGGCAGCAUAACAUGCCAAACACUUUCAGAAAGUACUGUACUUUAUUUAAAAGUUACCAACUGUAGACAAUUAAGACAGCUUAGAAUAUCACCUUUUGAAGGACACGUUAUGAAUUUACACUGUUAAU